This 27671-nucleotide long non-coding RNA is filed under the name Jatropha curcas. Its description in RNAcentral is "long non-coding RNA (JCUR_LNC000613)". Lineage: Eukaryota; Viridiplantae; Streptophyta; Magnoliopsida; Malpighiales; Euphorbiaceae. The record is from RNAcentral.
AAAAGUUUCGAUGAAAUAAAAUGGGACUCUAGUUACUAAUUGAUUACAAAUGUAUGUAUAUGUAUGUAACUGCAAUAUAAAUUAAUUGUCUUAAAAUCAAAUAUCAUUACUAUUAAUAUUGUAUUAUAAUUGAGUAAAUAGAGAAAAUAUUGCGAAACCGAACUAAAUAAACAAAAUAAGUCGAACAGGACCCAAAAAUCAAAUUGAUUUUCGAAAACCAAAUGAAUAGCCUGAGAAUCAUGUGAAAAACCUGCAAAUCGAGUAAAAAUCUAGCUGAGUCGUUGAAUCAGACCGAUCCGGUUCGGAUCGAACCGGAAUCAUCUAGAAGUUGGACAUACUUUAUUUCUUUUCUUCUUCUUCUUCCUUUCCUCUCCUGCGUCGACCUCAUCUCCUCCUCCUCUUCUCCUCUUCUUCUCUUCCUCUUUCUUCUUCUUCUUCUUCUUUCUUUCUUUCCUUUUUCUUUCUUUCUUUCCCUUUCUUCUUCCCUGCAACUGGGUCUGCGUCACUGCCAGCUCCUCCUCUAGCUCAUCGCGCCACCACAGCCCCUUCUGCUUUCGAUCGAGCAAGCGCCGCGCCUCACCCAGCUCGUCACGCCAUCGCCACCGCCUAGCCGCCGCUCCAGCACGCCUCCGAUCACCAAGCUAGCAGAAAUUCAACAAAAAAAAUUAUAUCGGGGUAUAAAUUAAUUUAAAUACAUUUUAGUUAAUUAAUUUAAUUUUAUUAAUGAUAGUUAAUUAAAUUUAGUUAGUUUAAUUUUAAUAAUUUUAGUUGAUUUAGUUAAUGUUAAUAAUAUUAGUUAAUUAAAUUAAGUUUAUUAUUUGCAGUUAAUUAAUUUAGUAGUAUUAGUUAAUGAAAUUAAUUUUAUUAUUUGUAGUCAAUUAGUUUAGUUAAGUUAAUGUUAGUAAUGUUAGUUAAUUAAAUUAAUUUUAUUUGUAGUUAAUUAAUUUGGUUAAUUUAAUUUGGUCAUUGUGAGUAGUUAAUAGCUUUAUAAUAUUAGUGUUGAUAUAAUUAAGGUAGUUUAAAAAUAAUGUUAUUGUAAUGUAUAAAUUGGAUUGUGUGGUGAUGUUGAGAUUGAAGGAGGAUGGGAAAAUGUCAUUUGAUUAAUUGCCCGAUGGAUGGGCCGUGUGGUUUGAAAUUAUUAGAUAAACUGUUGAUAUUUUAACAGGUGGAUAAUCCAAAUUUUAGGGGAGAUGCUGCCGAAAAGUCGGUAGAAAAUAAAUUGUAUUUUAGAAACUAAAUUACUUAUAGCGAUUAAAUUAUUCAUAGAAAUUAAAAAUAUAGAAUAAGAUUAUGAGAGGGAUAAAUAAACAAAUAAAUAAAUAAACAAGAGGAACGAAUUUAUAUAUAGUUCAGUGAAUUAAAUACCGACUAAAGUUAUUAACGUUAUGAAUAUUAUAUGAUCAAUCGUAUUAUCAUUAUUAAUAUUAUUAUUAUUAAUCAUAUUAAAUAUUUUGAUUAGUAGUAUCAUAAAAUAUUAAUUACCAAAUAAUUAGACGUUUUACUUAACGAAUAAAUUAGAAGAAAUAAAUCAAAUAAAGAUGCACUAUAGAUAUAAUGAUGCACUAUUUGUUGAUCUUAAAUAAUGCUUGAUUACCUGUGAUGUGAUAUUGCUGUGCCUUGUUUGUGUGGAAUUAGGAUGAAGUGGACCACCAUGGAUUUGUGAGGACGGUCUAUGUGAUAUGGAUCCUGAAUAUGAUAUGAUAUGGAGUUUGACCGUCAGCCGGGUACAUGGGAGAUCGGCGCCCCCGUGUGCACCUGAUGAUAUGGAUUAUAUGGAAAACCACAGGAUGGCUUCUUGUUGUUGCGCACCUGAUGAUCUAGAUUUGAUUGUAGCCCGCAGGGUGGCCUCCUGUUGUGAGCACUUGAUGAUCUAGAUUGGAUGGAGACCACCGGGUUGCCUCCUGUUGGCAUUUUUUUUUUUAAAAAAAAGAGAGAGAAUGGAAAAACAAUGAGAGGACUGGUCAGUGAGGAUUAGACCAGUUGGCCGUAUGGGGGAUCGGCUCCCUGGUGCACAUGUAUGAGAGGGCGAGCCAUGUGUGAGGACGGCUCGUUGGGGUUUUAGGUGGUGCCACUGACUAAUUUCCACGUGAUGUGAUUAUAUGAAUGUGAUAAUAAUUGUGGUUGCUGUUGUAUUGCCAUUUGUGUGACACUGCAUGAUCAUAAAUUUAAUCGAUGAACAAAUAAAAAUAUUUUAGCAUCUGUAUGAUUGUGUGGGGUGAGAGGGUUAUCUAACCCUACUCAUUGAGUUUGGCGCUCACCCCUGCCUACCUAUUUUUUUCCAGGUAAUAGAAGAAAGAAAAAUCCUAUGGAGUUGAGACAUAAGUAUAGAAGACUGUAAACAAUAAAUAAAUGAUGAUGUAAAUAUACAGGUAGAGUUCCGCAAUUGUAUUCUAGUGGGUUGUAGAUGAACUGUACUAGUGGUACAUAAUUGAAAUAAAUUAUUAGGCCUGUAUCCACAAUUAUGAAUAGUAAAUGAGAUUUGCAUAAUAUAGGCUUACUACGGGCUUCGGGGGCCUUAAGCCCACCCAGGUCCUAGUGCCGGUUCGGUCCAUGGAAAUGGGUCGUGACAAUUACAUAUUUUGAUAAAAUUUCAGUUUAGCUUCAUCUGACGAAAAUAAUUGAUGUGGAGAUCAAAAUUAUAUUUUAUAUUAUCGUUAUACAAUGUAAGUCUUGAUUUAUUAGAUUAAUAUCAUAGCAUUGCCAAAUUAUAAAAAUAUUUUGUAGUAUGGUAAAAGCAAAUUUAUAGUGAUUUUAUAUAAUUAAUUAACAAUAAAAUUAUAUUUUUUUUUAUUAAAUGGAGAAGCAGAAACAUCAUUUUCUUUUCAAUUAGAUAUUAAAAUACAUGACAUGUUAAAAAAAUUUAUUGUAUACAAACAGUGCUAUAUUAAUUAAUCAUUGUAUUUAUUUUAAUCUAAAUAAGAAUUUAUACUUUAAUAUUAUAUAAAUAACAAAAAUAACAAAAUUAAAUGAGCAAGUCAACGCACGUCAUAAAAGAACUAGUACUAUAUAUAAAUGUGAAAUAUGAGGAAUAAUGAGAUUUCCUACGAUAGCCUUAGAUUAAUUUAGAAUUUCUAAUAUAUUCAUUUAGCUUAGAUUUUUUAUGUAUUUUAAUUGGAGAAACCAUUUAUCUUUUAGUUGUAUUUUUUAUUGUCUUUCAAUUAGAGAAAGUAGAUUCUAUUUAUCUUUUUAAAUACCAUUUUAGUUGGAUUUUCUAUAUAUUUUAAUUGAAGAAAAUAUGUAUAUAUAUUUUCUCUAUUUGAUCUUGCAUUAUUAUUGUUUAAUAAUUUUUAUAAUUAAUAGAUUUUAAUCUUCUUAAUUAUACGUCCUUAUGUCAUAUUGCUUUCUAAAAUGUAAAUCGAAAACCUUAAUUCAACUAUUGAAAAUAAAAUUUAAAAUUUUCAAUUAAUUACGUUCUGAAUUUUUUAAAAUAUGUGUAAACAUUUUACUAUUAGACUCCAUUAGUUAAAUACAAUAAAAUUAAAAUUAAAAUUUUUAAAUUAUAUUUUCUCUUUUAUUAUUUUGGAGAUGAUGGCGUAUACUUAUUUAAACUAUUUAACACUAUUGUAUUUGACUAAUAUUAUAUAAUUUUUCUAAUCUAAUGAAAUAUUAUUAAAAAUACACUAUAAAAGUUUGAAUUAAUGAAAAAUGGCUAUUUGACAAUAUUUGCUAUCUUUUUCAUUUUCAUUUUUCUAUAUUAAAGAUGAUAUGAUAAAAAAAUUCAAGAGCUAUCUUUUUAUUUAAUAAUUUAUUCUACUUUUUUGAAUUUAUGAAAUUAUUAUUUAAUUUUUCUAUGAUUUAGUUGGAUCUAUUUUUAAAAAAAUAAUUUUUUAAAAUAGAUAUAAAGAUAAUUAAACCUUUGAAAUUUUAAUUUUUUUUAAAUACUUUUUUCAAAUAUAGGACUUUGAAAGUUUUGAACUUAAUCUCAUAUAUAUCUAUCAACUUGAGAGAGGAUAUUUCAUUACCAAUAUUAUUGCUUGCGCAUUGAUUUUUAAGUUACAUAUUAACAUUUAUUUAUAUCAUUUUGAAGCAUUUUUUAGCAAAGAAAAUCUUGAAGUUUUUAGUUACCUUUAAAUAUAUUUUUAAUUUAAUGAGUAAUCACAAUCUUUUUUUUUUUUCCAUGAGUUUCAUUUUUAUCACUUUUUUAAAAUAGUAGUGUCACAACCCGUUUACAUGGACCGGACCACACUUAGGCCCAGGUAAGCUUAAGGCCAUCGAGGCCUAUAGUAAGGCUAAAUCACUAAAAUCCAAUUAUCUCAAUAUGAAUUUCUACCAUUCAGCUCAUAUUACCAUGUUCACUAAACCUCAUAAUUAUAUUAUGUUUCAACCCCAAAUUCAACAUUUUACACAUUUCAUAGCUCGGGCCCAAUUUAUAAUACAUUACAUUCAUAAUAUGGUCUCAUAAAAUCAUUCCACUUAUAUUAAUACACAACUAGAGGUACAUAAAACCUAUAACUGCAGAGUUCACUAACAAAUAAGAACAAAUAAGCCCUUGUACAUAUAACUAAUUAAUGAAUUAAUUUCUAAAAUUAGAAAAUUCUUUUCUACCUCUAUGGGAAAGGAACAGAACUUUAACCGGGAUAUAGAAGAAUCUAUUCCCUGAAAGUUUAAAUAAGAGAGAUGUGAGUUUAUUAAUGAAUAAUUAUUAUUGCAUAACACAUGCAUUCACACGAAUGUGUAAAUAUAUCAAUCUAAUCAUCCGACUAGAUUAUGAUCGUGCAGGCGAUCUUGCAAAUGGCACAACAAUAACAAUCACAAUUAUUAACAACUUCACAUAAUCACAUCACGUGGAAAUUGAUCUGUAGCAUCACCGAAACCCCUGAUGAGCGUCCUCCAACAUGGCCCAUCCUCUCAUGACGUGUGCACCAGGGAGCCGAUCCCCAUACAUGGCCGACUGGUCUAAUCCUCAAUAGACCAGCCCUUUCAUUUCUUUUAUACUCUCUUUUCUUUUCCAUACCAACAGAAGGCCACUCUGUAGUUUUCCAGAUCAUCCAUACCAUAUCAUCAGGUAUCACCCAUAUCAUAUCAUCAGGUGCACAUGGGGGCGCCGAUCUCCCCAUGCCUGGCCGAUGGACAAAUUCCAUAUUUUUAUCAUUUCUAAGACCAUCUUUAUAAACCCAUAAUGACCCACUUCAUCCCAAUUCUACUUAAACAAAGCAUUGCAAUGACACAAUACAAAUAAUCAAAUAUUGUAAUUAAAUAUCAAGUAAUUAAAUAUCAUAAUGCAAGUGCACAAUUAGAUAUUCAUAUUCAAAUACAAAUAAUUACAGGAGUAUUAAUUAACAAUAUAAUAUAGUAAUUGAUUUUAGGAAAAUAAAGAAAUAAAUGAAUGAAUAAAUAAAUAAUGAUAAGAAUAAAUAACUAAUAAAAAUAAAAAUAAAAAUUUAUUUUAAAUAUAUCAAGUUAAAUAAUUAAUCUAAAUAAAUCUAUUAACUUAAUUAUUAAAUAUGACUAACCUAGAUUCUAUUGAAAUUUCGGCAGAACCUUCCCUAAAAAUUGGAUUAAUCCGCAAUUCAAUAGCAAAUUCUCAAAGCCCAUCCAUCGGGUAAUUCGCAACAACUAAACCCAUUUGCCGUAACCAUAUUCAUCAAUCAUUCAUCACACACAUAUACGCACUUAAUAAUUCCAAACCAAUUAAUUAACAAAUUAUAAUAACCUCUGAGCAUGUUCCAAUGAUAUUAUUAAUUGUUCUAUAAGUAAUUAUCAAAUAACUAAACAAUUUAUAAAUAAAACUGAUUUCGACAAGUUAAAUACAACUAUUCUCACUUGAUAAUUUCUAGACUUCUAAUCAUUAAGAAACUUCUCAGUACGCCUUUACUUUUCAUCCUUACUCCAGGUAUAAACCUCAUUUACUUAUGCAUUUAUUAAGAAUUCUAUACUAGCAGCCAAGAACCAAUCUCAUUAAAGCUUCCACCCCUUAGAAAUCCUAAAUUCUAACUUAAACUCAUAGCCUAGCAUAUAUAAUGUCUAUAUCUUACUUGUCUAAGCCUUAGAUUAUAACUCCCUCUAACAUUAUUUAUUAAAAUUCCUAAGUUAAUUUACAUAAUUAUUAGUUAAGAAUUCUCAUUUCAGCAUCAAAUCUUCUAAUUAUAAUUAAUAUUCAUGAAAUAUAUUUAGCAAUAUUCAAAAUUAAUUUGCAUCUUACAAUAUACCACUAACUAAUUACUAGCAAGAAUUAUAUCUAACUAAUUAUUUAUUCGAAUUCAAUUUAAUCAACUAUUAAUUUUAAAAUUUGGAAUUUAUACUCAAAUUGGAAUUAUAUCGGCGACCAUUCCAGAAUCCAUAUGAAGAGAGGAAGAUUCUGUCUCUUGGUGCCUCUUCGGAGGCUCACCGGACCAUCGCCGCCACCGUCCACGGUGGCCGGGAAACUGUGACUGCUCGGAAUCGAGUGCUCUUCACACCAUCUGGCUCGAUUUUUUGUCAAGAGUCCAUUUUUGGUGUUAUUAGUUGCGCGAGAUCAGCCUUCUAUUCUACUAGAGCAGGCUCGACAGGAGCCAAGUGACACCGUUGAUGUCGCCGUUGACCGUUGAAAAGGGACUGUAGCUCGCCUACAUUGCAGCUCUCGCCGGAGUCGCGAGCGAGCUGAGGAUCAACGUUGAGCAGCGGCUGGAGGUUGGUGGCGCUGCUGCGAUUCGCUCGAAUGGAAACAGAGGGAGGAGGGGCUGAGUGCGACGACAAAGAGAAGGCGGCGCAAUGAACUUCAUCCCUCUCGUCUCCGAUGAUAUGAAAAACAAGAGAAAGAGGGAGAGGAGAAGGUCGGCAACGGGACUGUCGUUGGACCCAGAAAGAAGAAGAAAGAAAGAAGAAGAAGAGGAAAGAAAAAAAGAAAAAAAAAUCUGGGCUUCUAAACUAUUCCGGUUCGAUUCGAAUCGGUUUGAUCUAACUCAAUGAUUUGACUCGAUUUUUGCUUGGGUUACGGAUUUUUCAUUGGGUUUUAGGACACUCCUAACUGAUUUACAGGUCUGAUUUAGCAAUAAUAAAAUAUUUUCCACUGAAUUUCAUUGGUUGGAAUAAAAAUUUAGUUUUUAAAUGAAAAUUCUACGAAAUUAAAUUUUUUAUUUUAUAAAAAGUAUUAAUUAAAAGGGAGAAAAAUACUUUAUAUCAUUAAUUUCAAAUGAGUAAAAUACACAUUAAUUUUUAUUAUUUUUAAUCAAAAUAAACAAUAAUGUAAUUUAAUAAUAAAAUUUAUUUAAACAAUAUAUUUAUGUCUACACCCCAUACGCAGAAUUACGAGCAAAAUAUUACUAUAUAUUAGUUAUUAUAUUUAAAGUAGGUAUUUGAAAUAAAUUAAACUCAAAAGCAAAUUUAAAUUAAAAAGAUUAAAAUCUCCUAAACAUUUAUACUCCAUUAACUCUAGUUGGAUAACUUAAAAAACAGCACAAACUUAAUUUAGAUAAUGAUUUGUUAAUAUAUUGUUUUUCACAUUAUAUCGAACCCAUAUUCUAAAAAGAAUAUAAAUGAAAAUUGCUAUUUUUAGAGUUAAAAAAAGGAAAAUUUUAUUUUAGUGGGAGAAGUAGAAAUAUCAUUUUCUUUUUAGUUAGAUGUUAGAGUGCAAGGCAUGUAACAGAAGAAUAUUAAUUAUAUAAAUAAAAUGCAAUAUAAAUUAAUUAUUGUAUUUAUUUUAAUCUAAAUAAGAACUUAUAUUUUAAUAUUAUAUAAAUAAAAAAAAAUUAAAUGAGUCAAAAUAAAUAUAUAACGAGUAAAGUCAAUGUACAACAUACAUAAUAAAAAAACUAAUUUUGUAUUAAAAAUGCAUGUAAUAUUUGUUAUAUUUUAAUGAAGAAUAAAAGAAAAAAUACAAAUCCUAAACAAAAAGAGAAAUAAAUUAAAAUAAAAUUACUCAAUCAUUAUAUAUAUAUAUAUAUAUAUAUAUAUAUAUAUAUAUAUUUUUUCUGAAGAAAGAUCNNNNNNNNNNUAAACAAUUUUUCUGAUGUGGAAGAUCAGACUAAGCUGCAUCCACAGAGCAUACUUAUCAACAUUACAAAUCACAACAACAAUUUAUAAUGGUUUAGGGUUCCUGCAACCUUAACCUGGGAUCCCCAGAAUUAAGUCAGAGUGUGGGGGAAGAAGAGAAUGGUGCCGUCAACACGGGCUUAAUAUGUAGCAAUUUUAAUAUAAACUAAACAUAAAAUUUUAUUUAAUUACAAAAUGAAAAUACAAUAUUUCAAACUUACAAAAGUUUUAUAAUUUAGACUUUCUCCAACUUGGAACGCUUACAAUGAACUGAGAGCUAAGAGUGAGAAAGGGAUUAUGAAUAGGAAUAGAGGUAAGAAUUAGCGAUAAGAAUUAUUGAUGCCUUCACAAGGGGAAAGGCUCCCUUUAUAUAGAAAAUUUAGGAAUAUUUACUAUUUGCUUUAUGCUGUUGAUGAACAGUGCUAUGUCUGCCACCGAAUCUUUACUGUUUGCCUUUUUACUGUUGAUGAACAGUGCUAUGUCUGCCACCGAAUUUUUACUGUUGAUGAACUGUGGUUGGUCUGCCACCGAAUCUUGACCUUUACUGUGAACAUAGUAACCUGGCUUCUACUGUUGAAAUAGUAGCUUGGCUUUUACUGUUUGGAAAUUGAAGGAAUAAGGUUCCUUCUGCCUUUUAUAUUGAGUCAGAACAAGAUGAGGACGAUGAUGUGUCCUUCUUUUUCUUUUCUUUUCUUUUUAUUUUUUCUUUUUCUUUUACCUUUUGGUUGAUUCUUUCUUUUUUUGCUUUGGCUUUUUUAUCUGCUUUACUUUUAAUUUUUAUGAUUGACUUAAUGUCUUCUUCAUCAGUAUCUUUAAAAGAAGAUAAAGAGACUGUGGAAGAGGAUGAUGAUGAUAAAACGACUUUAGCCUUUCCUUUAUGACUCUUUUUUGAUGAGGAUUGACCAGAUGAUACAUAUUUGGGCUUACUGGAGGAUUGGUUUAUUAGGCUUUCUGAACUGGUAGAAAGUUGUUAAAACAUUUCUUGACAGAUCAGUUUAUAUUCUUCGGGUGUUUUAGCUGCAGCUAACCGGGCUUGACACUGGGCCUUCUGAAUCCCAAAGUUAGGGUUAUCCUGAAUGGCUAAUGUACUGGCAUAGGUUAAAGCUGGAGUAGAUGGGCUGGCUAAUUUAGUGCGAAUCCAUUGAUGGAUCUUUAAUUCAGUAGUGGUGUUCUUGAAAGAUCCCCACCAUUUUAUCUUGUAUCUUUUUACUAACAUAGGAAUUUGGGUUCCUGGGACAUACUGAUAAUCGAAAUACCACUGGUAUACCCAAGGGGUGAAGAAGGUCAUACAGUAAUACAUCAAAGAUGGGAUAUGGACUUCUCCAGGAUUGGGUUUAUAAUGGGCUUUAAAAUAAUGAUAUAAAGAAAGGAUUGCAGGGGUAAUGAUUUCCUCCGAAAUACCUCUUGACUGCCACCACUUUUUAAACCAAUUUGGAAUUUUUAAAUCAGUUCUAAUAUGUUGAUCAAAAUAUACUAACCAAGAAUGGGUAGUAGUUGGAUUUUGAAUACAAAAAACUUUUUCCCAAGCUUCUUUGUAAUCAAAAUAAUUAUAUGUAGUACUAUGUUUAUGUAGAACUUUAAAUCUUACUGGAGUAUAUAAUGAAGAUACGGGCCAAUCUUUGGGAUGAAUGACUCGUUUUAUUUGAAUAGAGGAAUAAGAAAUUACGGAUUUAUUUUUAGUAUCAAAAGUAUGUUUGAUUUUUACAGAUCCAGUAUCAAUUAAAAUAUUAUGGUAAUACUCCUGAGGUUUUGAAGAAUCAGUAGGAACAAAAUACCAAUCCUCAGGGUAAUAUUGCUUUAUAAUUUGCCAAGGAUUAAUAUGAUUAUAUCCAUCCCCAACUUCAAAUUCAUAAUCAUAUAUAUUUUUUACAAACCAUUUAUGUAUACUACUAGUAGUAGAAUAUUGGAUUUUUGGCAAAUCCACAGCCAUCAACGGAUUUGAUAAGUCUUUACUGUCUACCGUUUGAGACAGACUAGUCGUACCAUGAGCGGAUACGAUCGUUUUAGGUUUAGAAGUCAUACCUGUAUCUUCUGUGGAAGAAGACGCCAUACCUUGCAAGGCCUUUAAUACUUCUGGGGAUUGAGUGAGUUCCUCAAUCCAUUUUUUAAGGUCUUUUGAAGGGUUUUGUUUACUAUUUAAAGUAAGGGUUUUACUGAGGUCUUCAGAAUGCUCCGAAAGAGCUUUAGUGGGUGAAGUAGAUUCUUGUUUACUAGGGGCUUUUCCCUUAUCCUUCUUCCUUCCCAUUGUUUUGUAAGAAUUCACGUGUCAGAAAGUCCGGGAUAUUAUUUGUAUUACCUUUAAUAUAUUCAAUAUCAAAUUCAAAAANNNNNNNNNNNNNNNNNNNNNNNNNNNNNNNNNNNNNNNNNNNNNNNNNNNNNNNNNNNNNNNNNNNNNNNNNNNNNNNNNNNNNNNNNNNNNNNNNNNNNNNNNNNNNNNNNNNNNNNNNNNNNNNNNNNNNNNNNNNNNNNNNNNNNNNNNNNNNNNNNNNNNNNNNNNNNNNNNNNNNNNNNNNNNNNNNNNNNNNNNNNNNNNNNNNNNNNNNNNNNNNNNNNNNNNNNNNNNNNNNNNNNNNNNNNNNNNNNNNNNNNNNNNNNNNNNNNNNNNNNNNNNNNNNNNNNNNNNNNNNNNNNNNNNNNNNNNNNNNNNNNNNNNNNNNNNNNNNNNNNNNNNNNNNNNNNNNNNNNNNNNNNNNNNNNNNNNNNNNNNNNNNNNNNNNNNNNNNNNNNNNNNNNNNNNNNNNNNNNNNNNNNNNNNNNNNNNNNNNNNNNNNNNNNNNNNNNNNNNNNNNNNNNNNNNNNNNNNNNNNNNNNNNNNNNNNNNNNNNNNNNNNNNNNNNNNNNNNNNNNNNNNNNNNNNNNNNNNNNNNNNNNNNNNNNNNNNNNNNNNNNNNNNNNNNNNNNNNNNNNNNNNNNNNUGUAUCUUCUGUGGAAGAAGAUGCCAUACCUUUCAAAGCCUUUAAUACUUCUGGGGAUUGAGUGAGUUCCUCAAUCCAUUUUUUAAGGUCUUUAGAUGGGGUUUGUUUACUAAAGGUUUUAGUGAGGUCUUCAGAAUGCUCAGAAAGAGCUUUAGUGGGUGAAUCUGAUUCUUGUUUAGAUUCUUUUCCCUUAUCCUUCUUCUUUCCCAUUGUUCUGUAAGAAUUCUCAAGUCAGAAAGUCUGGUAUAUUAUUAGCAUUGUACAAUUUCUUUAAAAGAUCUUUUUUAUUUGGAAUUGGAUAUCUUAUCCAUUUUAAUGCUGCAUUUAGAGGUUUAUAAUUUAUUACUAAUCUUGGUACUCCUCUUUCUAUUUCUGCAUUUUUAUUAACAUAAAAUGCCGCACAUGACCAUGGGCUUCUUGAUUUACAAAUUAAUUUUUUAUUUUCUAAAUCUUUAAUUUCUUUUUUACAAUGUUCGAUUAAUUCAGGAUUCAUUUGGAUUGGCCUAGCUUUAGUUGUAAUAGUUCUUUCAUCAAAAUUAUUUUCAUAAGGUAAAUCAACUAUGUGCUGUUUACGAUUCCAAAAAGCAUUUGUAUGAUCUGCACAAAGCUUUUUCUCCAUAUACUCUUUUAAGAGUUCUAUUUUAUUUUGUAUAUUUUCAGUUUCUAAUUGUUCUUUAAUUCUUUUUAAACACAUAUUAUUUUUUAAAUCUUUUAAGUCUGCUUCUUUAGAUUUUAUUAAUGAAUUGAUUUCUAAAGUUCUAAUAGAAUGUGCUUUUAAUAAAUUUAAGUUCUUACGUUUAGGUUUUUUUUGUAAAUUCAAGUCUAGCUUUCUUAUUUCUUAUUUUGAAUUUAAUACAAUCUUCCUUAACUGAAUAAGGUGUUAUCAAAUUUAUAAAAGGUGUUCCUAAAAUUACCAUAUAGUUUAUUUGAGGAGAAAGUAAAAAUACUGUUUUUAUUUCUAAAUCCGUGUUUAUAAUUAAUGCUUCUACUUUACCUACUAUUUCUAAUUUAGUUUUAUUAGCUGUACUUAAUUUUUCUUUAGUAUCUAACCAAUAUCUUUUAGGUACUAUAUCUGAUUUUAUACAAUUUAAAUCUGCUCCUGUAUCAAAUAAUGCUAUUGCAUCUAUAAUAAAGUCAUUUGCUAUUUUAAUGUUUAUUUUUACCAAAUAUUUUCUGGAAGUAAUUUCUUGUAAUAAAAAUAGAAAAUUACUAUUUAUUUCUUCAUCUUCUUCUAAUUGAUUGAUUUCAUCUUUUAUGUCAUCAUCUGGUUCUUCAGAAGAAGAAUUAGAUAUGAGUUGAGUUUCUAGUAAUUUGAUUUUCUUAGCAUUUUGUUGAGAUUGCACUUUUAAUUCAUUAACCUCAUGUUUUAGAUUUUUAAUUUCUUUUUGUAAUUCUUUAUUGGAAAUUUCUAUUGCUUCCUUUUUAUGUUUAUGUUUAUUUAAUAUGGUAGUUAAAUCAUAAGUAUUAGGUUGAAGUUUAGGAGUUAUUUCUUUUAUUUCUUUCUCUUCUUCAAAACUUUUAAUUAACCUUUUAAGAAGUUGUGCUUUAGUUUCAUUAUCAGUUAUAUUGUUUACCACUUCUAAAAGUGUACUUUGAUCUUUAGAAAGCAUAUUGAUAGAUUUUUCUGAUGAACUAGUUAUUGUUCCUAAUUCAUCAAUUUGAUUUUCACUUUCUAUCAUCUCUGAUUCUGAGGAGUCUGAAUCAAGAUAUAGUUCAUGAAUUUUAUUUAAAACUUCUCCUUCUAGAUUUAAUUCAUUUAAUUUUUUAUUAAAUCGACAGAAUUUUGAUGUAUGUCCUUUCUUACCACAAUUAUAACAAUUUAAAUUUUUAUAAGAAGUUUUAGUGGAAGAUUUAGAUGGUUGUUUUCUUUUAUAUUGCUUGUGAGGUUUUGACUUUUCUUUCUUAUAAUAUUUAUCUUGACUAGGUUUAGAUUUAUAAUGCGUUUUAGAAUACUUAUUUUUAGAAUGUUUGUUAGGUCUAUUUGAUUUAGAACACUGGCCUGUACAUUUCUGAGUAGAUGUCAUGCCAUAAUCAAAUUGUUUACAAAAAGAUCCUAACUCUUGUUUAGUUUUAUGCAAUUCAUAUUUUAAAGUUCUUUGGAGCUUUAAAUCUUGACAAAUUUGUAAUCCUUCUUUUUAAAUUAUACUAUUUAAUUAUCCAUAUGUUAAUUUAUUAUAAGGUAUUGGAUUACCAAAUUGUUGUUUAAUAUAAUUUCUAACUUUCUCGCCUAAGAAAAAAGGAAGUCCUGCUAAGAACUUUUCUUUCCAAAAGGCUUGAUUAGAAUCUUCUCUUAACAUUAAUUGUGUAAGAAAAGUGGUUUUAUAAUAUUGAAAAUCACUUAAUUUUUUACAUUUUAAAUUGCUUAAUAAUUCUGCAUUUUUAUCUUUUAAGUGUGAUGGAUCUCCUAUAAAAUGUAAUGAAAUAGUGAGAAUUAAUGUUGAUACUGCAUCUUGAAUAGGAUCACCAUUUUCAUCAUAUAUUGGAUCUCCUUCCUCAUUUACUUGGACUGAAUUUAAGAUUUCUAAAUGUUGUUGGUCAGUUAGGUGAUAAUCCCACCAACCUUUUAAUUGACCAGUAAAUCCUGCUAUAAUUAUUUCUGCUAUAGCCCAAUCUGAUAUAAUUGACUGAGUUUUAUAAGCAUUACCAGCCAUAGUCAUUUGUUGCAAUAUACUUAAUAUAUUAUACUCAGAUAGUCCAUCUAUAUUCCAUUCAUAAAUUGUAGUUGCAUUAUAUUUAAAUUGAGAUAUAGAAUUUGGUUUAUCUAUUAAUCCUAAGUCUGGUGCUCUAUUUACUAAUUCUCUAUGGGAUAUAUUUACUAUGUCAUUAUGUGAUAUAGGGUUUAGUUCAAAUUGUUUAAGAUUUUCUGAUUCAGGUUUACUGAUUGCAGAUUGAGAGUUUUCUUCUAUAAUGUUUAUACUUCUAGACGUUUGAGGAGUUUCAGGUGCUACUUGUUGAGUUGUAUCUGAAUGUAAUUCUAAUUUACUGAGCUGUGCUUUUAAUGAAUUUAUGAAUUCAUUUUGACUAGAUUUAGAAAGUUGAUAUGGUUUAAAAAUGUGAGAUUUUAUCUUUUCUUUACCUUUUACAUUAUCUUCUAUAAUAGGUUUUUCUUCCAAUAAAGUUUCUAUUCUUUUUAAUUGUGUAUUUAAACAAAUUAAACUUGCAUUACUAAAAUUAUUUUGUUCAAUUAAUUUUUUAUCUGUAUCAUUUUCUCGAGCUAUUUUAUAUGGAGCACAUACAAUUUCAUUAUCUUGAUAUUUUAAUUUACUAAUUGUUUUAGGUGGAAAAUCACUUUGUAUAGUUCUAUCAUUUAUUAUCCAUUCUGAUAAAAUUAUUGUUGUGAUAAAGCAUUCAUUUAAGAAGCAUCAUAGAUAGUUUUGGGUAUGCCUACUGAACCCGUUUGAUGGCCGUGUGUUGAAAGGCUAAGUAAGGGUAUAACCAGGCAGUGGUCGCGACUUGUUGAUACUUUAAAAUGGAUCCUUUAUUGUGUAGAUCUGCUAAUAGUGUUAAAGCGGAUGAUUCUGAAUCUUCAGAAAUAAAAAGAGUAAUUAACAGAAAUGAAUUAAUUUUACAAGAUUUUAGUAAAGCUAUUGAUGAAUGGGAAAUUCCUAAAGUUGACAAAGAACAAAUCUAUAAAAUCUCUAAAUUUAAUUUAUGCUCUGUGGUUGCAGCUUAGUCUGAUCUUCCACAUCAGAAAUAUUGUUUGUGUGUAAACUAAAUCUUUCAUCAUAGCAUUUACUUCAGAAUCAAUAGAAAUAUAUAUUUGUUAACCGAUCCUCUCCUUUUGUUGGUAUCAGAGCCUCUCCCUUUUAAAACUGUUGGCAACUAUAAUAAUAAAGAAUUCAUUUAAGAAAUAUCAUAGAUAGUUUUGGGUAUGCCUACUGAACCCGUUUGAUGGCCGUCUGUUGAAAGCUAAGUAAGGAUAUAACCAGGCAGUGGCCGCGACUUGUUGAUAUUCUGAAAUGGAUCCUUUAUUGUGUAGAUCUGCUAGUAGUGUUAAAUCGGAUGAUUCUGAAACUUCAGAAAUAAAACGAGUCAUUAAUAGAAAUGAAUUAAUAUUACAAGAUUUUAGUACAGCUAUUGAUGAAUGGGAAAUCCCUAAAGUUGAUAAAGAACAAAUUUAUAAAGUUUCUAAAUUUAAUUUAUGGAAAACUGAUUAUGUAAUUAAAACCGAAGAAAGAGAUUUUCAAUUAAGUAAACCUUUUGAGCGAAUUACUCUUCUCUCUUCUAAAACUUUAAAACAACAUAAAGAUAAAAAAUAUAAGUACAUUCACAUAGGAUUAAUUCAAGUAGGUAUUAAACCUUUAACCAGAGAAGGAUUAAACACUAGCAUUUUUGCAGUAGUAAGAGAUGCUAGAUUUUUAAAUUUUCAAGAUUCUUUGUUAGGAUCAGUUGAAACUAGUUUAAGUGAAGGACCUAUAUCAUUUGAAGUAUACCCAGAUAUGACUAUUUCUUUAAAUGAUGUAAACAUUGUAGAAAGUAUGGUCUUAGAGAUUAAAACUCAUAAUUAUAAGAUGAAACAAGGAUCAAUCUCUAUAGCAUUAAUUUAUAAAAUUCAUUAUAAAGCAAUGAAUUCAGCUUUUGGUACUAAAUAUAAAUUACAACCUAAAUUAGGGGAAACAAGAUUCCUACAAACAGAUUUAACUAAAACUAAUACUGUAAUCCCUAAAACCAUUCAAUGGAAAGAUAUCACCUUACCAGAAGAAUGGAUUUUAGAAGGAAUAGUACCUCCUCCUAUUCCAAAAAAGGUUAGACCUAAUAUAAAUUUGCAAAAAAUUGAGCAAUAUGAAGAUGGUAAAGACCAGAAUGGAUAAUAAAUGAUAGAACUAUACAAAGUGAUUUUCCACCUAAAACAAUUAGUAAAUUAAAAUAUCAAGAUAAUGAAAUUGUAUGUGCUCCAUAUAAAAUAGCUCGAGAAAAUGAUACAGAUAAAAAAUUAAUUGAACAAAAUAAUUUUAGUAAUGCAAGUUUAAUUUGUUUAAAUACACAAUUAAAAAGAAUAGAAACUUUAUUGGAAGAAAAACCUAUUAUAGAAGAUAAUGUAAAAGGUAAAGAAAAGAUAAAAUCUCACAUUUUUAAACCAUAUCAACUUUCUAAAUCUAGUCAAAAUGAAUUCAUAAGUACAUUAAAAGCACAACUCAGUAAAUUAGAAUUACAUUCAGAUACUACUCAACAAGUAGCUCCUGAAACUCCACAAACGUCUAGAAAUAUAAACAUUAUAGAAGAAAACUCUCAAUCUGCAAUCAGUAAACCUGAAUCAGAAAAUCUUAAACAAUUUGAACUAAACCCUAUAUCACAUAAUGACAUAGUAAAUAUAUCCCAUAGAGAAUUAGUAAAUAGAGCACCAGACUUAGGAUUAAUAGAUAAACCAAAUUCUAUAUCUCAAGUUAAAUAUAAUGCAACUACAAUUUAUGAAUGGAAUAUAGAUGGACUAUCUGAAUAUAAUAUAUUAAGUAUAUUACAACAAAUGACUAUGGCAGCUAAUGCUUAUAAAACUCAGUCAAUUAUAUCAGAUAGGGCUAUAGCAGAAAUAAUUAUAGUAGGAUUUACUGGUCAAUUAAAAGGUUGGUGGGAUUAUCACCUAACUGACCAACAACAUUUAGAAAUCUUAAAUUCAGUCCAAGUAAAUGAGGAAGGAGAUCCAAUAUAUGAUGAAAAUGGUGAUCCUAUUCAAGAUGCAGUAUCAACAUUAAUUCUCACUAUUUUAUUACAUUUUAUAGGAGAUCCAUCACACUUAAAAGAUAAAAAUGCAGAAUUAUUAAGUAAUUUAAAAUGUAAAAAAUUAAGUGACUUUCAAUAUUAUAAAACCACUUUUCUUACACGAUUAAUGUUAAGAGAAGAUUCUAAUCAAGCCUUUUGGAAAGAAAAGUUCUUAGCAGGACUUCCUUUCUUCUUAGGCGAGAAAGUUAGAAAUUAUAUUAAACAACACUUUGGUAAUCCAAUACCUUAUAAUAAAUUAACAUAUGGACAGUUAAAUAGUAUAAUUCAAAAAGAAGGAUUACAAAUUUGUCAAGACUUAAAGCUUCAAAGAACUUUAAAAUAUGAACUACAUAAAACUAAACAAGAACUAGGAUCUUUUUGUAAACAGUUUGAUUAUGGCAUGACAUAUACUCAGCAAUGUACAGGCCAAUGUUCUAAAUCAAAUAAACCUAACAAACAUUAUAAAAAUAAGUCUUGUAAAACGCAUUAUAAAUCUAAACCUAGUCAAGAUAAAUAUUAUAAAAAAGAAAAGUCAAAACCUCACAAGAAAUAUAAACGAAAGCAAUCAUAUAAAUCUUCAAAUAAAACUUCUUAUAAAAAUUUAACUUGUUAUAAUUGUGGUAAGAAAGGACAUACGUCAAAAUUCUGUAAAUUCAAUAAAAAAUUAAACGAAUUAAAUCUAGAAGAAGAAGUUUUAAAUAAAAUUCAUGCACUAUAUCUCGAUUCAAACACCUCAGAAUCAGAGAUAUCAGAAAGUGAAAAUUAAAUUGAUGAAUUACGAACAACAACUAGUUCUUCAGAAAAAUCUAUCAAUAUGCUUACUAAAGAUCAAAGUACACUUUUAGAAGUGGUAAACAAUAUAACGGAUAAUGAAACUAAAGCACAACUUCUUCAAAAAUUAAUCAAAAGUUUUGACGAAGACAAAGAAGUAAAAGAGAUAACUCCUAAACUUCAACCUAAUACUUAUGAUUUAACCACCAUAUUAAAUAAACAUAAACAUAAAAAGGAAGUAAUAGAAAUUUCCAAUAAAGAAUUACAAAAGGAAAUUAAAAAUCUAAAACAUGAGGUUAAUGAAUUAAAAGUACAAUCUAAACAAAAUGCUAAGAAAAUAAAAUUAUUAGAAAAUCAACUCAUAUCUAGUUCUUCUUCUAAAGAACCAGAUGAUGACAUAAAAGAUGAAAUCAAUCAAUUAGAAGAAGAUGAAGAAAUAAAUAGUAAUUUUCUAUUUUUAUUACAAGAAAUUACUUCCAGAAAAUAUUUGGUAAAAAUAAACAUUAAAAUAGCAAAUGACUUUAUUAUAGAUGCAAUAGCAUUAUUUGAUACAGGAGCAGAUUUAAAUUGUAUAAAAUCAGAAAUAGUACCUAAAAGAUAUUGGUUAGAUACUAAAGAAAAAUUAAGUACAGCGAAUAAAACUAAAUUAGAAAUAGUAGGUAAAGUAGAAGCAUUAAUUAUAAACACGGAGUUAGAAAUAAAAACAAUAUUUUUACUUUCUUCUCAAAUAAACUAUAUGGUAAUUUUAGGAACACCUUUUAUAAAUCUUAUAACACCUUAUUCUGUUAAAGAAGAUUGUAUUAAAUUCAAAAUAAGAAAUAAAAAAGCUAGACUUGAAUUUACAGAGAAACCUAAAAGAAAAAACUUAAAUCUAUUAAAAGCUAAUUCUAUUAGAACACUAGAAAUUAAUUCUUUAAUAAAAUCCAAAGAAGAAGACUUAAAAGAUUUAAAAAACAAUAUGUGUUUAAAAAGAAUUAAAGAACAAUUAGAAACUGAAAAUAUACAAAAUAAAAUAGAAGUCUUAAAAGAGUAUAUGGAGAAAAAGCUUUGUGCAGAUCAUCCAAAUGCUUUUUGGAAUCGUAAACAGCACAUAAUUGAUUUACCUUAUGAAAAUAAUUUUGAUGAAAGAACUAUUACAACUAAAGCUAGGCCAAUCCAAAUGAAUCCUGAAUUAAUCGAACAUUGUAAAAAAGAAAUUAAAGAUUUAGAAAAUAAAAAAUUAAUUUGUAAAUCAAGAAGCCCAUGGUCAUGUGCAGCAUUUUAUGUUAAUAAAAAUGCAGAAAUAGAAAGAGGAGUACCAAGAUUAGUAAUAAAUUAUAAACCUCUAAAUGCAGCAUUAAAAUGGAUAAGAUAUCCAAUUCCAAAUAAAAAAGAUCUUUUAAAGAAAUUAUACAAUGCUAAUAUUUUUAGUAAAUUUGACAUGAAAUCAGGAUAUUGGCAGAUUCAAAUUGCCCCUAAAGAUAGAUAUAAAACAGCAUUUACAGUUCCUUUUGGUCAAUACGAAUGGAAUGUAAUGCCGUUUGGAUUAAAAAAUGCACCUUCAGAAUUUCAAAGAAUAAUGAAUGAUAUAUGUAACCCCUAUUCCCAAUUAUGUAUAGUCUAUAUUGAUGAUGUGUUAAUAUUUAGUCAAACUAUUGAAAACCAUUUUAAUCAUUUAAAAACUUUUUGUAUGAUAAUAGAGAAAAAUGGUUUAGCACUUAGUAAAACUAAGAUGGAUUUAUUUAAAACCAAAAUUAGAUUUUUAGGACAUUAUAUUGAACAAGGAAUACUUCAACCUAUAGAAAGAACUUUAGUAUUUGGAAAAAAAUUUCCUGAUGAAAUAACUAAUAAAGUACAACUUCAAAGAUUUCUUGGUUGUUUAAAUUAUGUAAUUGAUUUUUAUCCUAAUUUAAAUUGUAUGAUAAAACCUUUACAUGAUAGACUUAGAAAAAAUACUGGUCCCUGGACCAAUAAGCAUACACAAUUAGUCAAAAAGAUUAAAUCAUUAGUUAAAGAAAUCCCUUAUUUGUAUAUUCCUAAUCCAACUGCAUUUAAAAUUGUAGAAACAGAUGCAUCCAAUAUAGGAUAUGGAGGCAUAUUAAAACAAAAAAUCAAUGGUAAAGAACGUAUAAUUCAAGAUACGUCUGGACAUUGGAACCGGACACAGAUAAAUUAUUCCACUAUUAAAAAAGAAAUUUUAAGCAUAGUUAUAUGUAUAAAUAAAUUCCAAUCUGAUUUAUUAAAUCAAAAGUUUUUACUUCGUAUUGAUUGUAAAUCUGCUAAAGAUGUUUUGCAAAAAGAUGUUCAAAACCUUGCUUCUCAACAAAUUUUUGCUAGAUGGUAAGCAUUAUUAAGUAUUUUUGAUUUUGAUAUUGAAUAUAUUAAAGGUAAUACAAAUAAUAUCCCGGACUUUUUGACACGUGAAUUCUUACAAAACAAUGGGAAGGAAGAAGGAUAAGGGAAAAGCCCCUAGUAAACAAGAAUCUACUUCACCCACUAAAGCUCUUUCGGAGCAUUCUGAAGACCUCAGUAAAACCCUUACUUUAAAUAGUAAACAAAACCCUUCAAAAGACCUUAAAAAAUGGAUUGAGGAACUCACUCAAUCCCCAGAAGUAUUAAAGGCCUUGCAAGGUAUGGCGUCUUCUUCCACAGAAGAUACAGGUAUGACUUCUAAACCUAAAACGAUCGUAUCCGCUCAUGGUACGACUAGUCUGUCUCAAACGGUAGACAGUAAGGACUUAUCAAAUCCGUUGAUGGCUGUGGAUUUGCCAAAAAUCCAAUAUUCUACUACUAGUAGUAUACAUAAAUGGUUUGUAAAAAAUAUAUAUGAUUAUGAAUUUGAAGUUGGGGAUGGAUAUAAUCAUAUUAAUCCUUGGCAAAUUAUAAAACAAUAUUACCCUGAGGAUUGGUAUUUUGUUCCUACUGAUUCUUCAAAACCUCAGGAGUAUUACCAUAAUAUUUUAAUUGAUACUGGAUCUGUAAAAAUCAAACAUACUUUUGAUACUAAAAAUAAAUCCGUAAUUUCUUAUUCCUCUAUUCAAAUAAAACGAGUCAUUCAUCCCAAAGAUUGGCCCGAAUCUUCAUUAUAUACUCCAGUAAGAUUUAAAGUUCUACAUAAACAUAGUACUACAUAUAAUUAUUUUGAUUACAAAGAAGCUUGGGAAAAAGUUUUUUGUAUUCAAAAUCCAACUACUACCCAUUCUUGGUUAGUAUAUUUUGAUCAACAUAUUAGAACUGAUUUAAAAAUUCCAAAUUGGUUUAAAAAGUGGUGGCAGUCAAGAGGUAUUUCAGAGGAAAUCAUUACCCCUGAGAUCCUUUCCUUAUAUCAAUAUUUUAAAGCCCAUUAUAAACCCAAUCCUGGAGAAGUCCAUAUCCCAUCUUUGAUGUAUUAUGGUAUGACCUUCUUCACCCCUUGGGAAUACCAAUGGUAUUUUGAUUAUCAGUAUGUCCCAGGAACCCAAAUUCCUAUGCUAGUAAAAAGACACAAGAUAAAAUGGUGGGGAUCUUUCAAGAACACCACUACUGAAUUAAAGAUCCAUCAAUGGAUUCGCACUAAAUUAGCUAGCCCAUCUACUCUAGCUUUAACCUAUGCCAGUACAUUAGCCAUUCAGGAUAAUCCUAACUUUGGGAUCUAGAAGGCCCAGUGUCAGGCCCGUUUAGCUGCAGCUAAAACACCCGAAGAAUAUAAACUGAUCUGUCAAGAAAUGUUUCAACAACUUUCUACCAGUUCAGAAAGCCCAAUAAACCAAUCCUCCAGUAAGCCCAAAUAUGUAUCAUCUGGUCACUCCUCAUCUAAAAAGAGUCAUAAAGGGAAAGCUAAAGUCGCUUUAUCAUCAUCAUCCUCUUCCACAGUCUCUUUAUCUUCUUUUAAAGACACUGAUGAAGAAGACAUUCGGUCAACCAUAAAAAUUAAAAGUAAAACAGAUAAAAAAGCCAAAGCAAGAAAAGAAAGAAUUAAGCAAAAGGUAAAAGAAAAAGAAAAAAUAAAGAGAAAAGAAAAGAAAAAGAAGGACACAUUAUCGUCCUCAUCUUGUUCUGACUCAAUAUAAAAGGCAGAAGGAACCUUAUUCCUUUAAUUUUCAAUUUUCAAACAGUAAAAGCCAAGUUACUAUGUCAACAGUAAAGGCCAAGCUACUAUUUCAACAGUAGAAGCCAGGUUACUAUGUCCACAGUAAAAGUCAAGAUUCGGUGGCAGACAUAGCACUGUUCAUCAACAUCAUAAAGCAAAUAGUAAAGAUGCUUAAAUUUUCUAUAUAAAGGGAGCCUUUCCCCUUAUGAAGGCAUCGCUAACACUAACCUCUAUUCCUACUCAUAAUCCCUUUCUCCCUCUUAGCUCUCAGUUCAUUGUAAGCGUUCCAAGUUGGAGAAAGUCUAAUUAUAAAACUUUUGUAAGUUUUAAAUAUUGUAUUUGUAUUUUGUAAUUAAAUAAAAGUUUGUAUUUUAUUUUAAAUUGUUACGUUCUAAGACCGUGUUGACGGCACCAUUCUCUUCUCCCUCCACACUCUGACUUAAUUCUGGGGAUCCCAGGUUAAGGUUGCAGGAACCCUAAACCAUUUAAAAAAUUGUUGUUGUGUUUUGUAAUGUUGAUAAGUAUGCUCUGUGGAUGCAGCUUAGUCUGAUCUUCCACAUCAGAAAAAUUGUUUAAAUUGUAUGUUGAUUUUAUAUUUAAUGAAUUAUAUAAGUAUUCAUAUAAACCCAAUUAAUCAUAGUAUUUUAGUUCACAGUUAUAAUUUAUCUUUAAAUAUUUGUAUCUGUAUUUAUUUAAAUCCUAGUUCCCCCUGAACUUUGAAAAUAACCCUACAACACCCCCAACUUUGCGGGAGACCAAUCAUGCACCUGAAUUUAAAAAUUAUGCACCACAUAUAUAUUUUUUCAUGCUGGUUACCAAUUUACAAUCGCGAUAGUAAAUGAAAGUGGGAUCCAUUUAUAUUUACACAUAAGCUAUUUAAAAAAAACGUUAAAGAAAAACUAACAAUGACUGUUCAUAUUUGCAAAUUCAGAAGGAAAAAAAAAAAAAGAAAGAAAGAAAAGUUUAAAGAGAAAAUCUUUGAGUAAAAGGAAGUGACAUUGGGUUAUUGGGCAAGGGAAAAAUAUUAGGGUUUUCUUGUCAUCGUCGUUUGAACAAAGAGAAAGCUGAAUAUUGUGAAGAACGGAAGAAAGCGCAGCAUUUGGGAGGGGGAUAAUACCCAAGUGAAAGAGAAGCGAAAGUUGGCUUCCAAAAGUAACUAUUCAACCAAUGUUUUCUUUAAAUCUGCAUUCUUGGAGCUAUUUUGUUGGUUUUUUUGGUUUGCGAAUAGUGGAAUGAAGCAGGGGUUAUGUUUUUUGCUAUGGGUUUUGUAUUUUCUCUUUUUUUAAAAAGGGAUGGUUGUAUGUAUGGUUUUUUUCGUUAUUAGGACAAUAGAAGUAGGGUUUUUUUUUAGAUUGAACAUUGACUUUUUUGAGAUGGUGGCCAUUUGUUGAAAAAGUUUUGCCUUUUGUUUUAUUGAUUUCCCUUGUCCCUAUUCCCUCACUUGAUGGUCAAUGUCUUUGUAGAAAGGCUGACAAGAUUAUAACUCUUCGUUGAUUUCAUGGUGGUCAAUUUGUGCACAAUCCUCACAUGAGAUAUGUUGGUGGCACUGUUACUAUUGAAGAAAAUAUGGACUGUGAUCGGGUUUCUUAUGUGGAUUUGCUUGGAAGAGAUAAAGAAAUGAGGCAUGACAUAAUAGGUCAACUUUUUGUUAAAGUUUACAUUGUUGGAGAAAUUGAGGUAUACUCUCCCCUUAUUAAUGAUUCUGAUGUAUUAAUUGAGUUGAACCACUUCUAGAAUGGAGGUACACUAGAUUAUUUAUUGAGCAUGUAAUUGCAGUACCUAAAGUUAUUGAGGGAGUGUAUUUAUUGGAUACGAGUGGUCAAGGGGCAAAUGUGGGAGGGGAAAACUCAGGAGGGGCAAAUGUGGGAGAGGAAAACUUAGGAGGGGCAAAUGAGGAAAUAGAAAACCUAGUUGGGGAAAGGGCAAGUGAGAAUAAAAAACUUAAAUGAGGAAGGGAUAGGAGCAAAUGUUGCUGGGGCUAGUAUGAAUGGGGGGGGGGGUUGAGAGUAGCAAUUCUAGAGAUGAAAAUAGGGAAGAGGAUAACUAGAGGAAGAUAGUGACUACGAGCCUGAAGUUGAUGAAGAUGAUAUUGAAGAUGCGGAUGAAGAAAUAGGUGAUGUUGAUGAAGAAUUAAGGGCUACAAGAGAAGGAGUUAGAAAUUAUAGAAGAAGUAAAGCUAAGGCAGAAGAGGACAUUGAGAAUGUUCCUCUAGGUGAAGCUAGUCCGGACUUUGGGUUUACUAGAGAAGACGGUCUAAAUAGUAGAUUCAAAAGGGUAACUGCGGAUGGUGAACCAUAUUUAGGUUCUUCUGAUCCUGAUUCUAGAGAGGCUACUAUUGAUGAGGAAGGGAGUGGUGAUGAUAAUAGUUCAAGCCAAUAGGAAAGAAAGAAAAACCCAUUAUGACCUAACAACACAUGUUCUAUAUUGGUAACUUAGUAUGAUUUUGAAUCUAUGGACCAAUUUAGGAAAGUCAUUGCUAAGUAUGGGAUGGUGAGGGGUGUAGAUCUAAUUGUUAGACCAAAUGAGCCACAUAAGGUUAGGGCUAAAUGUAGGCAGGUUGUCCUUGGUUGCUUUUUGGAAUCAUGGAAAGUAGUACAGAUAAUUUCAUUAUAAAGACCUGCAACCUAGUCCAUAUGUGUUUUAGAACUAAUAGGAACAAAUUAGCUAACUCUAGUUUCAUUGCUAAGCAUUUUAAAUAUAGGAUUUGUUCUCUGUCUAGUAUUAAGAUUAGAGAGAUACAAGAUUUGUGCAAAGAACAACUAAAUCUUUUCAUAGUAAGACUAUUGCUAGGAUAGUUAAGAUUAAAGCUUUGGGAGGUAUCAUAUGUGAUUAUAAGUUGGAAUUUGCUAGACUACAUGAUGCAGAUGAAAUUAGGAGGUCAAAUCCAAGCUCCACAUGCUUUGCAAAGUGCAAAAGGAUGGAAGAAGGGUUGUAAUCAUUUAAGAGAUUAUAUAUGUGUUUGCAAGCUUGCAAACAAGGUUUCCUUAAAGGUUGUAGGCUAAUAUUUGGGCUAGAUAGUUGUUUCCUUACAGGACUAUGUGGUGGCCAAUUACUAGUUGUUGUCUCCAAAGAUGGAAACAAUCAAAUAUUUCCUAUAGCUUGGGCUUUAGUGGAUGUGGAAAGUACAAAACAUUGGUCAUGGUUCAUCUCAACUUUGAAGCAAGAACUUGGUAUCACCAUUGGUUUGGGCUAGAUAGUCAUAAAAGAUAUACAAAAGGUAAUGUAUCGCAAUUUCAUUUAUAUUACUUGUGUUUUCCAUUAAAAGCUUAUGUUUUCAAUUUUAAUGGUAUUUUCUUGCCUUGAAGGGACUUAACAAAGCAAUUGGACACGAGCUACCAGAAGUAGAGCAUAGAAUGUGUGUUAGAUAUAUAUGGACUAACUGGAAUAAGAAGUGGAAGAGUGAGAAGAGGAGAAGAAAGUUUUGGGAGGUAGCAAGAGCUCCCUUUGAAAUGAUGUUGAGGGACAAAUUGAAAGACAUGAGUGAAUUUAGGAGGAAAACAAGUUGUGGAUGACUUACUAUAUUACAAUCACAACACUUAGUGUAUGGCUUUUUUCAGCAAGCAAUCUGAGUGCGAUAUUAUGGAGAACAAUGUAUGAAACAUUCAAUGGUUGGAUCUUUAAUGAUAGGAUGAAGUCAAUUAUAACUAUGAUGGAGGAAUUAGAGUACAAGUGAUGGAAAGAAUUAAAGUCAUGAGGGAGUUUGCAAAUACAUGGAUAUGUGAUAUAUUCUCUAAGGCUAUGAAGAAACUAGAGAUGCAUAAAUUGCUAUUCAUGCUUUUUCAUCCUAGAUGGAAUGGGGAUAGUGGUUCUGAAAUUGUGGAAGGAGAGUACCAACACACAGUAAAAGGAUGAUAUGUACUCGUAGAUCAUGGGAAUUGAAAGGAAUCUCAUGUCAGCAUGCCACUUAUGCUAUGUUUCAUAGAAAAUUGGAUUUUGAAAACUAUAUUGCUAUUUGGUAGAGAAAGGAGCAAUACUUGAAAGCUUACAAGUAUAGCAUAUAGCCUGUUAUAGGCAUAAAGCUAUGGUUUGAAUCAACAAAUCAUGUUAGAAAAAAGAUAGCUAGGAGAAGGGAUAAGGAUGAACCAAGGAAAAAGAUUGGAAAGUAUAAAAGAAAGGAGUGUCAAUGACUUAUGAAUUCUGUAAAGGAUCUGGACACAACAAAAGAGGCUACCCACAGAAUAGGACAAGUUCAACCGAGGUAAAUCUUAAUCUUAAUACAUUUAAGUAUAUAAAUGUAAUGUGUUUUUACAUCUCUGUUUCUUGUUUCUAACUAUUUGCUUUGACACAUGCAGAAUACUGUAUCUCAAUCACAAAUACAAGCAGAAUCCCAUGUUAGCCAAUAGUCAAGUGCUAUAGGCACUAGCAUUGCACCACCCAUUAGCACUCCAGCAUGUAGUAUAUUUUUCUUCUUUAUAUAUGUGUUAUUUAUUAUUCUGUGUUAAUUACAAAUUGCUUUUAUUGCAAUUAUGUUGUUGAAGAUUAUGUUCAUGAAAUGUGUUUUGUAAAUGUUUAAUAGGUAAAAGUGAUAUGAGAUUAUUAAAGAGGAAUGCUAGAACACCAAACAUUGCCUGUCAUGGAUCCAAGAGUCACAACAAUGCAAAUGUGGUUGGAAAUGUAGCUAGACCAUUUUCAAGUGCAAUAGAUACUACUGGUGUAACACCCAUCAUCACUCUAGCAAGCAUUUGACUUUGAUUUUCUGAGAUAUUUUUUUGCAAAUGGUUCUGUUAUUGGAUAUUAUGUGUUAAUUAGAAAUUUCAAAUUUUCAAUAGGUAGAAGAAAUCUGAGAUCAUUAGUGAGGAAUGCAAGAACACCUGACACUGACAGUGUAGCAUAUAGUAGUCAAAGUAAUGCAAAUUUGGCUGAAAAUGUAGCAAGAGCAAAUCCAAGUGUCAUUGGCACUGCUACUGCACCUUCCAGACCCCCCCAACAACACUCCAAAAGGCAAUGAUUUUUUUGUAUUUUAAUUUUCAUAUGCUAGUUUUGUGUAACAUUUCAAAAUAUGCUGACUACUGUUGUUGUUUUGGUAUUGAAAGCAAUUGAAUAUUUGAGUUUAUUUGACUCUCUGUGUGAUAUAUGUGCUGGGAAAGACUAUUUCAUUCUCUGUGUGAAAUGUGUUGUGAAAGAUUAUUUGACUCCCUGUUUGAAUUUCUCUUAGGUAAUGUCGUUCAUAACCAAUAUUAGAAAUGUGGCUGCAACAACUCCUUUAGGUGGAGGAGGGGAAGAGGAUAUAAUGGAGCACCACCAACAACUAAAACUAGUAAGAGAUAUGCUAGAAAGACAAUGGCUUUUGUUGUUAAGAGGCAAGUUACUCUUAGGAGAAUUAGUGUUCACCUGAAUGAGAAUACUUGAAUGACAACAUACCACAUAAUGUGUAAUUUCCCUAACCGGAUUACUUUCAUUCACUGUUGAUAGGGAUGCAAAUAUAGGUAAUGACUUAUUAUGUUCAUUUCGAUCUUCACUCAACACUGCAUCAAGGAUUAUCACCAACCCUACCAAUUAAUUUAAAGAGCUCUGCAGUUGUUACAGCCUCAAAUAGAAAGAGGCACAAAUACUUCAAGCCAAGCAUCACAAGGCAGCAACAAACCAACACGACAAAGUGGCAAUGAGGGAAAUUGAAUUAGGAUUUAUGCUUUUAUUUUUGUAAUUGUGAAUGUUUUGAUAUUUAGACUUGUAUUCUGAGAUAUGUCAAAACAUAAUUUUUUGUCCAAACUUGUGGAAUGUGUGUUAUUUCUGGCAAAUGGAACCCCACUUUUGUCAUCCAUUUUUCAGAAAUUAUGAACAAUUAUCUUCAGUAAUGGAAUCUCAUUUUGGAAUCUCAGUGAUUCAUUUUCAUUAUUACAGUUUUGCUUCUAGCUAUCCUCUCAUCUAUAUGCUUAACUUAUUAAAAUUGCGAGGAAUCAGAUUUAAUUAUUAAAAAUUUGCAUAAUUGAGCAAAUAAAUCAACAACAACAAACAUCAUAUUUGAUGGAAGAUUAAACUAUAUUAAUUGUUAAUUACUUGAAAUGAGCUACACAGUAACAAACUACCAAAAUAUGCAUUCUCCACACUGAGAUUACAACUCCUAUUAGGUUACGAAAGGUUGUUGCGUCUCUUUUGAGUUCCCGCAAGUAUACGGAUCGCAACGUAGUAAUAAAAGAUCGAUCCCACGAGGAACGGGUUGAGUUCACUUGCUACUUUACUCUUAAUGAUGUGUUUACAGAAAUAUGAAUAUAGAAGUGAUUAAUUUCUAUUUAUGCUAAAUCUACUGUUUAAUUAACUCUAAAGAUAAGUGUGUAGUAAGAUACUUAGAA